CAGUCGCCACGGUAAUACGAAGGGGGCUAGCGUUGCUCGGAAUUACUGGGCGUAAAGCGUGCGCAGGCGGUUAUAUAAGACAGAUGUGAAAUCCCCGGGCUCAACCUGGGAACUGCAUUUGUGACUGUAUAGCUAGAGUACGGCAGAGGGGGAUGGAAUUCCGCGUGUAGCAGUGAAAUGCGUAGAUAUGCGGAGGAACACCGAUGGCGAAGGCAAUCCCCUGGGCCUGUACUGACGCUCAUGCACGAAAGCGUGGGGAGCAAACAGGAUUAGAUACCCGCGUAGUCCCUGUCUCUUAUAC
RNAcentral lists this ribosomal RNA (301 nucleotides) under uncultured bacterium. RNAcentral describes it as "partial 16S ribosomal RNA". It matches the Rfam family "Bacterial small subunit ribosomal RNA", at positions 509 to 807 of the family's 1533-position model. The record is from RNAcentral.